GAUGAACGCUGGCGGCGUGCCUAAUACAUGCAAGUCGAGCGAGCAGACGAGGAGCUUGCUCCUCUGACGUUAGCGGCGGACGGGUGAGUAACACGUGGAUAACCUACCUAUAAGACUGGGAUAACUUCGGGAAACCGGAGCUAAUACCGGAUAAUAUAUUGAACCGCAUGGUUCAAUAGUGAAAGACGGUUUUGCUGUCACUUAUAGAUGGAUCCGCGCCGCAUUAGCUAGUUGGUAAGGUAACGGCUUACCAAGGCAACGAUGCGUAGCCGACCUGAGAGGGUGAUCGGCCACACUGGAACUGAGACACGGUCCAGACUCCUACGGGAGGCAGCAGUAGGGAAUCUUCCGCAAUGGGCGAAGGCCUGACGGAGCAACGCCGCGUGAGUGAUGAAGGUCUUCGGAUCGUAAAACUCUGUUAUUAGGGAAGAACAAAUGUGUAAGUAACUAUGCACGUCUUGACGGUACCUAAUCAGAAAGCCACGGCUAACUACGUG
RNAcentral lists this ribosomal RNA (497 nucleotides) under uncultured bacterium. RNAcentral describes it as "partial 16S ribosomal RNA". It matches the Rfam family "Bacterial small subunit ribosomal RNA", at positions 28 to 507 of the family's 1533-position model. The record is from RNAcentral.